Molecule: ribosomal RNA, 263 nt
Filed under: uncultured bacterium
Lineage: Bacteria
Description: partial 16S ribosomal RNA
Rfam family: Bacterial small subunit ribosomal RNA
Source: RNAcentral
GUCCACGCCGUAAACGAUGGGUGCUAGGUGUGGGGGGUGUCGACUCCCUCCGUGCCGAAGCUAACGCAUUAAGCACCCCGCCUGGGGAGUACGGCCGCAAGGCUAAAACUCAAAGGAAUUGACGGGGGCCCGCACAAGCAGCGGAGCAUGUUGUUUAAUUCGACGCGACGCGAAGAACCUUACAAAGGCUUGACAUGCACGGGAAUGUCGUGGAAACACGGCAGCCCUUCGGGGCUCGUGCACAGGUGGUGCAUGGCUGUCGU